CCUACGGGUUGCAGCAGUGGGGAAUAUUGCACAAUGGGCGCAAGCCUGAUGCAGCCAUGCCGCGUGUAUGAAGAAGGCCUUCGGGUUGUAAAGUACUUUCAGCGGGGAGGAAGGGAGUAAAGUUAACACCUGCAUUAUUUGACGUUACCUACAGAAGAAGCACCGGCUAACUCCGUGCCAGGAGCCGCGGUAAUACGGGGGGUGCGAGCGUUAAUCGGAAUUACUGGGCGUAAAGCGCAUGCAGGCGGCCUGUUAAGUCAGAUGUGAAAGCCCGGGGCUUAACCUCGGAAUUGCAUUUGAAACUGGCAGGAUAGAGUCUUGUAGAGGGGGGUAGAAUUUCAGGUGUAGCGGUGAAAUGCGUAGACAUCUGAAGGAAUACCAGUGGCGAAGGCGGCCCCCUGGACAAAGACUGACGCUCAGAUGCGAAAGCGUGUGGAGCAAACAGGAUUAGAUACCCGCGUAGUC
RNAcentral lists this ribosomal RNA (465 nucleotides) under uncultured bacterium. RNAcentral's name for it is "bacterial SSU rRNA". It matches the Rfam family "Bacterial small subunit ribosomal RNA", at positions 338 to 795 of the family's 1533-position model. The record is from RNAcentral.